RNAcentral lists this ribosomal RNA (310 nucleotides) under uncultured Moryella sp. RNAcentral's name for it is "partial 16S ribosomal RNA". Lineage: Bacteria; Bacillati; Bacillota; Clostridia; Lachnospirales; Lachnospiraceae. The record is from RNAcentral.
GGAGUUUGGGCCGUGUCUCAGUCCCAAUGUGGCCGGUCAUCCUCUCAGAUCGGCUACUGAUCGUCGUCUUGGUGGGCCGUUACCCCGCCAACUAACUAAUCAGACGCGGGUCCAUCUCACACCACCGGAGUUUUUACCCCUGUACCAUGCGGUACUGUGGUCUUAUGCGGUAUUAACAGUCGUUUCCAACUGUUAUCCCCCUGUGUGAGGCAGGUUACCCACGCGUUACUCACCCGUCCGCCACUGAAAGAAUUCCGAAGAAUUCUUUCCGUUCGACUUGCAUGUGUUAGGCACGCCGCCAGCGUUCAUC